This 69-nucleotide transfer RNA is filed under the name Homopholis walbergii. RNAcentral's name for it is "tRNA-Ala". The record is from RNAcentral. Lineage: Eukaryota; Metazoa; Chordata; Lepidosauria; Squamata; Gekkonidae.
GGAGGCCUUAACUUAAUUAAAGUGACUGAUUUGCAGUCAGGUGAUGUAAAUAAAAGUUUUACAGGUCUU